AUGAGGGUCCUCGCACCUCGGUGCUCGGGCCCUAAUAAACAAAGCAGAUACAAGAGGGUCCUCGCACCUCGGUGCUCGGGCCCUAAUAAACAGAGGUAGCAAACAAGUAACCUUUGAUAUUAUGUCUUUGAGGUAACCCUCACCCUAAAAAAAAACAAAAAAACAUCUGAUCUAAGCAAUAUUAAACCAUUAAACUGUAGCAAUAUUUAUAACAACUCUAAACAUGAACACAUUGUGUUUCCUGUAUUAAGCUCAGGAAAAAUAAUAAAAUAAAUUAAAAAAUAUAUAUGAAUGAAUGUCACGUGACCGUAGGCUACAUAUAUGCGAUGACCGUUGUAAUUUGUAUCAGAUGACCGUUGUGAUUUCCUCAGCCUACUGUACCCUCAACAUUUUUUGAUCAUUUUCCCCACAUUAAUAACCUGUAAAUAGAACCAGUUGUAUAUAUUAAGUUCCUGUUCAUUCAUUACAUGUCUUUCUACUACUGUUGUUUUAAAAGUUAAUUAGUCGUCUUUAAGUUUGUUUGUAGUUUGUCGUCAGUUCGUCAAGUGGUUGAAAGUUAUCCAUUACCAUCCGUCAACCAACUAAAG
This is a long non-coding RNA of Carassius auratus (goldfish), 587 nucleotides long. RefSeq lists it as uncharacterized. Lineage: Eukaryota; Metazoa; Chordata; Actinopteri; Cypriniformes; Cyprinidae. The transcript has 2 exons. The record is from RefSeq and is a predicted model, not a curated record.